AACGCACAUUGCACCUCAUGGUAUUCCGUGAGGUAUACAUGUUCGAGCGUCGUUUAAAACCAUAAGACUUUGUCUUGCGUUGACGUUGUCCGAUGCGUAGUCGGAACGUUGAAAAUGAUGGGCGCACGGAUCGUUCGAGCAAAGCAACAAACUGCGGAGCUUUUGAAUGGGACGGGCCGCCAGGUGUUUUAUCUAUUUUAACGUUCGACCUCGAAUCAUGUAGGAUUACCCGCUGAACUUAA
This 242-nucleotide unclassified non-coding RNA is filed under the name uncultured fungus. Its description in RNAcentral is "partial contains 5.8S ribosomal RNA, internal transcribed spacer 2, and large subunit ribosomal RNA". The record is from RNAcentral. Lineage: Eukaryota; Fungi.